Molecule: ribosomal RNA, 393 nt
Filed under: uncultured bacterium
Lineage: Bacteria
Description: bacterial SSU rRNA
Rfam family: Bacterial small subunit ribosomal RNA
Source: RNAcentral
AUUGAACGCUGGCGGCAUGCCUUACACAUGCAAGUCGAACGGCAGCGCGGGGGCAACCUGGCGGCGAGUGGCGAACGGGUGAGUAAUAUAUCGGAACAUACCCUAGAGUGGGGGAUAACGUAGCGAAAGUUACGCUAAUACCGCAUACGCACUAAGGUGGAAAGUGGGGGAUCUUCGGACCUCAUGCUCAUGGAGUGGCCGAUAUCUGAUUAGCUAGUUGGUGAGGUAAAAGGCUCACCAAAGGCGACGAUCAGUAGCUGGUUUUGAGAGAACGACCAAGCCACACUGGAACUGAGACACGGUCCAGACUCCUACGGAGGCAGCAGUGGGGAAUUUUGGACAAUGGGGGCAACCCUGAUCCAGCAAUGCCGCGUGAGUGAAGAAGGCCUACGG